Molecule: ribosomal RNA, 259 nt
Filed under: uncultured Pseudomonas sp.
Lineage: Bacteria; Pseudomonadati; Pseudomonadota; Gammaproteobacteria; Pseudomonadales; Pseudomonadaceae
Description: partial 16S ribosomal RNA
Rfam family: Bacterial small subunit ribosomal RNA
Source: RNAcentral
CGGCGGACGGGUGAGUAAUGCCUAGGAAUCUGCCUGGUAGUGGGGGACAACGGUUUCGAAAGGAACGCUAAUACCGCAUACGUCCUACGGGAGAAAGCAGGGGACCUUCGGGCCUUGCGCUAUCAGAUGAGCCUAGGUCGGAUUAGCUAGUUGGUGAGGUAAUGGCUCACCAAGGCGACGAUCCGUAACUGGUCUGAGAGGAUGAUCAGUCACACUGGAACUGAGACACGGUCCAGACUCCUACGGGAGGGCAGCAGCC